AGAUUUUAGAGUCUUACCAUAUCCCUCUUUCUCCUCCUUUCGUCCCUGAAGCCUGGGAAAAUACAAAAGGAAAGUCUACUCUCCCCAUCACUUUUCCAAGACAUUAGUCUAUACCCACCAGUCCCAUCCCUGUCACAUCGUCUAUGAAGCCCUCCUUUUCCCUUCUUAUUCAUUCCCUAUGGACUUCUGUUGGAUCAUCUCAAUGGUGAUGGUAAUUGAGGAAAAGUCUCAAAAGGUGGAGGCAAGAAUACUUGAAAAUCUAUGUAUUUCAAAUGAAGAUGGCUUCUCAGGGACCAUGCUGAGCCAUUCAUUGGUGAAAGGAUACACAUCUAGUCCACAGCUUUCAGGUUCACUCAGUCGCAUUGCUGCUGCCUAUACCACUAACAUCAUGUGGAGAUUCCAGAAGCACCUGAAAGAAGCUUCUUUUGUCCUCCCAUUGGAGCUAUUUAUCCUGUUCUUCCUUCACUGAUGCUUUUGGAAACUGCUUCCCACCUAACUGCUCACCAAGAGCAAGUAAGUAGACACAACCCCAGCACAUGGACAAGUCAAAGGCCAGUUCUCCAAGGUCAAUUUCCAGAGUGUCAUCACUACUCAGCCCACCCCGGCAUGGACUUUCAGAAACCUUAUUCCUACAUUCCUGAUGGCCAAUGGAAGUCCAGGGCCUCACUGGGCUGAAAGUUGCUUUUCUUGCUUCUUCAAAAGCAAGUGGGAAAAAAAAAAAAAAGCAAGUGGGGNGUCAAAGGCCAGUUCUCCAAGGUCAAUUUCCAGAGUGUCAUCACUACUCAGCCCGCCCCAGCAUGGGCUUUCAGAAACCCUAUUCCUACAUUCCUGAUGGCCAAUGGAAGUCCAGGGCCUGACUGGGCUGAAAGUGGCUUUUCUUGCUUCUUCAAAAGCAAGUGGGGGGGAAAAAAAGCAAGUGGGAUUUAACUUCUAAUCUUCUGGUGAUGAACAGAAAGGAGAAAAAAAUGCAAAACACUUUAUUUAGUUUUGAAGGAUGCUUUAAAAAGUUUUGUGAUAAAAUAUACAUAAUAUAAAUGUUAACAUUUGAACUAUUUUUAAGUGCACAGUUCAUGGGCAUUAAGCACAUUCACAUUGCAGUGUAACCAUCACCACCAUCUACCUCCAGAACUGUUUCAUCAUCCCAAAAUGAAAUUUUAUAUCCAUUAAACAAUAAAUCCUCAUUUCGUAUCCCA
Molecule: long non-coding RNA, 1193 nt
Filed under: Vulpes vulpes (red fox)
Lineage: Eukaryota; Metazoa; Chordata; Mammalia; Carnivora; Canidae
Description: lncRNA (ENSVVUG00000026157.1)
Source: RNAcentral